Molecule: ribosomal RNA, 724 nt
Filed under: uncultured bacterium
Lineage: Bacteria
Description: bacterial SSU rRNA
Rfam family: Bacterial small subunit ribosomal RNA
Source: RNAcentral
UGCAAGUCGGGCGAGAAGGGUUUGGUGCUUGCAUUGAACCUGGAAAGCGGCGAAAGGGAGAGUAACGCGUAGAUAUGUACCCUAGGGUCUGGGAUAGCGUCGGGAAACUGGCGGUAAUACCGGAUAAUGUCCCCGGACCAAAGGUCUACUGCCCUAGGAGCAGUCUGCGUCCUACUAGCUUGUUGGUGGGGUAAUGGCCUACCAAGGCAAUGAUGGGUAGCGGGCGUGAGAGCGUGACCCGUCUCACUGGGACUGAGACACUGCCCAGACACCUACGGGUGGCUGCAGUCGAGAAUCUUCCGCAAUGGACGAAAGUCUGACGGAGCGACGCCGCGUGCGGGAUGAAGGCCCUCGGGUUGUAAACCGCUGUCAGAGGGGAGGAAAUUUUGACCGAACCUCAGAGGAAGUCCGGGCUAAGUUCGUGCCAGCAGCCGCGGUAACACGAACCGGACAAACGUUAUUCGGAAUUACUGGGCUUAAAGAGUGCGUAGGCGGCCAUGUGGGUGGGGUGUGAAAGCCCACGGCUCAACCGUGGAAUAGCGCUCCAAACCACUUGGCUUGAGGGAGACAGGGGUAAGCGGAACUGAUGGUGGAGCGGUGAAAUGCGUUGAUAUCAUCAGGAACACCAGUGGCGAAGGCGGCUUACUGGGUCUCUACUGACGCUGAGGCACGAAAGCUAGGGUAGCGAACAGGAUUAGAUACCCUGGUAGUCCUAGCUGUAAAC